GAUGAACGCUGGCGGCGUGCCUAAUACAUGCAAGUCGAGCGAACAGAUGAGGAGCUUGCUCCUCUGACGUUAGCGGCGGACGGGUGAGUAACACGUGGAUAACCUACCUAUAAGACUGGGAUCACUUCGGGAAACCGGAGCUAAUACCGUAUAAUAUCUUGCACCGUAUGGUUCAAUAGUGAAAGACGGUUUUGCUGUCACUUCUAGAUGGAUCCGCGCCGCAUUAGCUAGUUGGUAAGGUAACGGCUUACCAAGGCAACGAUGCGUAGCCGACCUGAGAGAGUGAUCGGCCACACUGGAACUGGGACACGGUCCAGACUCCUACGAGAGGCAGCAGUAGGGAAUCUUCCGCAAUGGGCGAAAGCCUGACGGAGCAACGCCGCGUGAGUGAUGAAGGUCUUCGGAUCGUAAAACUCUGUUAUUAGGGAAGAACAAAUGUGUAAGUAACUAUGCACGUCUUGACGGUACCUAAUCAGAAAGCCACGGCUAACUACGUG
This 497-nucleotide ribosomal RNA is filed under the name uncultured bacterium. RNAcentral's name for it is "partial 16S ribosomal RNA". It matches the Rfam family "Bacterial small subunit ribosomal RNA", at positions 28 to 507 of the family's 1533-position model. The record is from RNAcentral.